CGUGCCGUGAUAACCUUGUAUUGCCUUCCCCCCUUGAAGCUAUUGUUCUUGCAAUCCGUGCAUUAUUGCACUGCACGUAAGUGGAAGCGUUUCGGCCAGUCGCCAGCGGUUGAAUCAGUCUGUUUUGAAACGUUGAAGUGUGAGGACGUCGGCCGCGGAUCUCAAGUAAUUUGCGUUUUGUCUUCGGGAUUGUAACUGUUUUUGAGGCUUUUACUACUGUUCGCAGACACGCAUUAUGAGCGCCGAUAGGAAGAUUACCAACCACGUAACGUUACCAACGGCGCUGGGUGCCAAACGAUGAAUCUCGUACGAAGUGACAGGUGGUGAG
Ornithodoros turicata is the source of this 328-nucleotide long non-coding RNA. RefSeq lists it as uncharacterized. The transcript is spliced from 3 exons. The record is from RefSeq and is a predicted model, not a curated record. NCBI's taxonomy places the organism in Eukaryota, Metazoa, Arthropoda, Arachnida, Ixodida, Argasidae.